GAUGAACGCUGGCGGCGUGCCUAAUACAUGCAAGUCGAGCGAACGGACGAGAAGCUUGCUUCUCUGAUGUUAGCGGCGGACGGGUGAGUAACACGUGGAUAACCUACCUAUAAGACUGGGAUAACUUCGGGAAACCGGAGCUAAUACCGGAUAAUAUUUUGAACCGCAUGGUUCAAAAGUGAAAGACAGUCUUGCUGUCACUUAUAGAUGGAUCCGCGCUGCAUUAGCUAGUUGGUAAGGUAACGGCUUACCAAGGCAACGAUGCAUAGCCGACCUGAGAGGGUGAUCGGCCACACUGGAACUGAGACACGGUCCAGACUCCUACGGGAGGCAGCAGUAGGGAAUCUUCCGCAAUGGGCGAAAGCCUGACGGAGCAACGCCGCGUGAGUGGUGAAGGUCUUCGGAUCGUAAAACUCUGUUAUUAGGGAAGAACAUAUGUGUAAGUAACUGUGCACAUCUUGACGGUACCUAAUCAGAAAGCCACGGCUAACUACGUG
RNAcentral lists this ribosomal RNA (497 nucleotides) under uncultured bacterium. RNAcentral's name for it is "partial 16S ribosomal RNA". It matches the Rfam family "Bacterial small subunit ribosomal RNA", at positions 28 to 507 of the family's 1533-position model. The record is from RNAcentral.